UGAUUUGAGUAAGGUUUCGAGAGUAAUGUGAGCGCGAUUUGUAUGAGGUUUGAGUGUGAUUUGAAUGUAAUGUGAGUGAGGGAUGAGAAGAUGACUAGUUUAAUCUCUUUUUUAUAUUUUUUUUAAUUUUUCUCCUUUUUGUAAUAGUUAUAUGAUUUGUUUUACUUCUACAUUAUCAAUUUUUAUGUUGAAAAUUCUUUCAAAAAACUAUCUCGCUCUCCUUUUUGGAAUUUUGCCCAACUUUCCUUUUU
RNAcentral lists this long non-coding RNA (251 nucleotides) under Linum usitatissimum (flax). RNAcentral describes it as "long non-coding RNA (LUSI_LNC004545)". Lineage: Eukaryota; Viridiplantae; Streptophyta; Magnoliopsida; Malpighiales; Linaceae. The record is from RNAcentral.